ACGGGGGGAGCAAGCGUUGUUCGGAUUUACUGGGCGUAAAGGGCGCGUAGGCGGUAGCACAAGUCAGUUGUGAAAUCUCCGGGCUUAACUCGGAAAGGUCAACUGAUACUGUGCGACUAGAGUGCAGAAGGGGCAACUGGAAUUCUCGGUGUAGCGGUGAAAUGCGUAGAUAUCGAGAGGAACACCUGCGGCGAAGGCGGGUUGCUGGGCUGACACUGACGCUGAGGCGCGAAAGCCAGGGGAGCGAACGGGA
RNAcentral lists this ribosomal RNA (253 nucleotides) under uncultured prokaryote. Its description in RNAcentral is "partial 16S ribosomal RNA". It matches the Rfam family "Bacterial small subunit ribosomal RNA", at positions 525 to 777 of the family's 1533-position model. The record is from RNAcentral.